RNAcentral lists this ribosomal RNA (208 nucleotides) under uncultured bacterium. RNAcentral describes it as "partial 16S ribosomal RNA". It matches the Rfam family "Bacterial small subunit ribosomal RNA", at positions 568 to 774 of the family's 1533-position model. The record is from RNAcentral.
CUCGUAGGCGGCUCAGCAAGUCGGUCGUGAAAACCCGGGGCUCAACCCCGGGACGCCGGCCGAUACUGCUGUGGCUAGGGUCCGGUAGAGGAGAAUGGAAUUCCCGGUGUAGCGGUGAAAUGCGCAGAUAUCGGGAGGAACACCAGUAGCGAAGGCGGUUCUCUGGGCCGGUACCGACGCUGAGGAGCGAAAGCGUGGGGAGCAAACA